This 502-nucleotide ribosomal RNA is filed under the name uncultured bacterium. Its description in RNAcentral is "partial 16S ribosomal RNA". It matches the Rfam family "Bacterial small subunit ribosomal RNA", at positions 30 to 523 of the family's 1533-position model. The record is from RNAcentral.
AUUGAACGCCGGCGGCAGGCUAACACAUGCAAGUCGAGCGGAGUGAUGGUGCUUGCACUAUCACUUAGCGGCGGACGGGUGAGUAAUGCUUAGGAAUCUGCCUAUUAGUGGGGGACAACAUCUCGAAAGGGAUGCUAAUACCGCAUACGUCCUACGGGAGAAAGCAGGGGAUCACUUGUGACCUUGCGCUAAUAGAUGAGCCUAAGUCGGAUUAGCUAGUUGGUGGGGUAAAGGCCUACCAAGGCGACGAUCUGUAGCGGGUCUGAGAGGAUGAUCCGCCACACUGGGACUGAGACACGGCCCAGACUCCUACGGGAGGCAGCAGUGGGGAAUAUUGGACAAUGGGGGGAACCCUGAUCCAGCCAUGCCGCGUGUGUGAAGAAGGCCUUAUGGUUGUAAAGCACUUUAAGCGAGGAGGAGGCUCUUUUGGUUAAUACCCAAGAUGAGUGGACGUUACUCGCAGAAUAAGCACCGGCUAACUCUGUGCCAGCCGCCGCAGUAA